RNAcentral lists this ribosomal RNA (514 nucleotides) under uncultured bacterium. Its description in RNAcentral is "partial 16S ribosomal RNA". It matches the Rfam family "Bacterial small subunit ribosomal RNA", at positions 28 to 523 of the family's 1533-position model. The record is from RNAcentral.
GAUGAACGCUGGCGGCGUGCCUAAUACAUGCAAGUCGAGCGAACAGAUGAGAAGCUUGCUUCUCUGAUGUUAGCGGCGGACGGGUGAGUAACACGUGGGUAACCUGCCUAUAAGACUGGGAUAACUCCGGGAAACCGGGGCUAAUACCGGGUAAUAUUUUGAACCGCAUGGUUCAAUAGUGAAAGACGGUUUCGGCUGUCACUUAUAGAUGGAACCGCGCCGUAUUAGCUAGUUGGUAAGGUAACGGCUUACCAAGGCGACGAUACGUAGCCGACCUGAGAGGGUGAUCGGCCACACUGGAACUGAGACACGGUCCAGACUCCUACGGGAGGCAGCAGUAGGGAAUCUUCCGCAAUGGGCGAAAGCCUGACGGAGCAACGCCGCGUGAGUGAUGAAGGUCUUCGGAUCGUAAAACUCUGUUGUUAGGGAAGAACAAAUUUGUUAGUAACUGAACAAGUCUUGACGGUACCUAACCAGAAAGCCACGGCUAACUACGUGCCAGCAGCCGCCGUAA